CUAGGCUCUGUAAUGUCACCUAAAGACGCGAGGUCUCUUCGACAAUAUACACGACUCCAGAACUCCAGAGUUAUAACGGACCUGAACCUGAACCCUGCCUGUGCACUGAAGGAGAAGGGUGGAGAAGAGGGAACAAGUCGGAGCCGCUGGAAGCCUGCACACAGUGGUGGAAAAAAAGGGCAACAACUCAGGAAACAUCUGGAUGUGUGAGCUGGACUGCAGUUAGUCAAAUACCAUCUGCUUCUUCAACUGUUUUCAGAAUGUUUUAUUGCAUUUCUA
This is a long non-coding RNA of Dicentrarchus labrax (European seabass), 279 nucleotides long. RefSeq lists it as uncharacterized. The transcript is spliced from 3 exons. The record is from RefSeq and is a predicted model, not a curated record. Lineage: Eukaryota; Metazoa; Chordata; Actinopteri; Moronidae.